RNAcentral lists this non-coding RNA (21 nucleotides) under Caenorhabditis elegans. Lineage: Eukaryota; Metazoa; Nematoda; Chromadorea; Rhabditida; Rhabditidae. The record is from RNAcentral.
UGUUUUAAUUUUUUUUCAAAA